RNAcentral lists this long non-coding RNA (814 nucleotides) under Mytilus galloprovincialis (Mediterranean mussel). Lineage: Eukaryota; Metazoa; Mollusca; Bivalvia; Mytilida; Mytilidae. The record is from RNAcentral.
UUGAAUGCAUUUUUAUCAUUCAAUUCCUGUUAUGUGGUUAUGGUAUCAAACCAGUAGCAAGUGAAGACAAAAUAUGUCGACAAGGUUUCAGUUUAGAAAUGUCCAAUGGUAAUUGGUCUUAUAAAUUACAAGAUGCGACGAAAGGCCAUCAUCAAAUGAAAAAUAUAAAGUGAAAUUAUGGAACUACUCGGCAUAUCUAUCUAAUGAUAAAUGAUUUGGAAGUUGGAGACAUAAGCUGUAAUUCAUCCACAUGAUUGGCUAGAAACUUAACUCGAUCCGAAUGGGCCGCUUUACUAUGUAUCUUGGCGAGCAGAUUUCAAAGUACUCUCUUUUGGUCUUCUGGACCAAUACACUGAAAGGAAACAGCUUGACCUUCAAGUACAAGAAAAUAUCGAUAACUGCACAAUCGACAAUGCUAAACACGAUUUGACAAGCUUAAUUGUAAAAGCAUUUAUUGAAAAUUUAAAAGUAUUGUUUUUAAACAAAAUAACAAUAAUGAAAAUUUAAAUUUAUGCUUUGUAUCUAAGUUUGAAUGGUUUCAAAAUAGUCCGUGGUUUAUUUUGAAGAAACAUUUUGGCAUACCGUUCCAGGAAUUUGGAUACAAGUGUUGUCAUUAUUAUAAUGGAUCUGUUUGCUGUGAUCAUAAAUUAAAAAGAAUCGAGGGCUAUAGACUGGUUCCCUAUAUUAUUUCUAUCAUAUUGUUUUGAUAUACCCCUUUUAUUCUGGUAAAAUUAGGUAAUAUCAACUGCGAGACUCAUCCUGCAAAUUGGCAUAACUCUAGUGAAAUUGAUUCAAACACAAGUAGAACUGAUAA